AAAGACAAUUGGUUAAAGUCAUCGAUUCAGUUACCCUCUGCUUACCUCCACCACUACGAGGGCACACAGCGAUGUAUCAUUCACACAGAGGAGGUGUGAUGCAGCGUGAAAGGGAACUGGGAGGAACGUGAGACUGCUCAGAACUGACUUCUGCCUGAGACAUGGUAACUCCAUCUCUUGAUUAGAAGGAUACAGUAAACCAAGUAACCACAGCUUGUAGUGAUUUUAAUUAUAGUUUGCAGUCCUGUUCCAUCCUUAAGGGUGCAAAGGAGAGAUGCUGCACUUGCCUAACUGGAAAAGAAGGGCAGGAUUUCCUCCUGGAAAACAGCCUUAGGAAAAUGAGCCAGACAUACAACAGCUGAGCAGUGCAUCCUCUAUGUGUAUCUAUGAAUGUUUUGUCCUGAAAAGCUGGCUCUGGCUUGUAGAGAACAUAUGGAUAUUCACAUAGCUAGUUAUUUUCCUUCUCAGUGCAACUGAUUGACAUUUAUAUUUCUUGGAGGUACAAACACUGCAGAAGCAUGGUGUUUAUAAGAAGUUAUUUCCUCACCCUGUCUAAUGUGAUAAGGACAAACUGUUUCACAUUCCUUGUCUAUAUUUAUUUUAGCAUUUUAUUGCCCCAAAUGAUUCUUAAUAUUUGGGUUGACCUUAAGCUCUGAUGCAGAGGGAAAAUCUGUUCUAAAAUCCUCAGCACUACUGACAGCUCUUGUGCUCCACCACCGCUCUGGACUGUCAAGAAAUUCCUGAAGACUUCCAUGUGCCACAAUCUGAAGCAGCACUGAAUGAAAUCAUUAUUCCCCUUUUAUUGCUUUUGAAUGAGCAUUUUUUUCCAUUAAAUGCUGAUUUACUUUUAUAUUAUGAGACAGUGAGAACAGACCUUCCCAAGAACUUCUCCAGACUGUACUGACAAUCCCAUUCUAAAGCAAUGAUCUUGCUUUUCUUUUUUUUUUUCUCCAUUUUUUUUCCUUGCAUAUGAAGGUGAAAACAAGAAUAAUCUUCAUGUGGUAAAGUAUUUAUGGUUAUUUUCUUGAAGAGUCCAACUGCCCCAUAAAUUCUACUUUAGUAAGUGUCUUCUUUUUAAGGAAUGUUUUAUUCCUUAAAAGACCUUUCUUCUUUUAUUAAGCAUCUGAUUUUUGAUGCCACAUUACACUACUGACAAGUAUAUUAUGACAUGUAUAUAUGAGGCCAUUUCUAAAUGCAAGAACAGUUGAGUACUUAAGGAACUGCAGCUUGAAAACAAACCAUGAUGUUCUGUCAAUGAAACGCAGGAGGAAAUGAAGAUGAAGGAAAUAAAACCCACAUGGUGCCUGAAAAGAGGUUUAAUUUUCUAUACUUGAAGCAGCUAUGGUUAGUUUUCCAAACUAAGAAUACAAUUCACUCUCCUUUGAGCAUCAUCUCAAAAUAGCCCCUACACCUGCGUCAACAGGAAGCGAAGAAAAUGAGAAUGUGUAUCUGGCCACACCGAGGCUCACCUCUUCAAACCUUCUGUCUUUUUGUUAUUAGAAUUAAAAGGGGGAAAACAAGAGUGGAACAGCAGUGUUUCGCAUAGUUUAAGUAUCUGGGGGGAAAGGGCUUUCCUGGGACUUGGUUCUCUGCCCGUGGCUGAAGCAGCUGGAGAGGAGGCUGGCUCCCUGGUGCUUGCUGCUCUCCAUGGCCCCACCGGCUGCCCCUCAGACGUGCUGGCCAAACCACCUUGAGGAAACUCCCCCAGGGCAAGGACCUCGGGAACUGCACAACGUGUUUGCUACAGCUGACAGAUCCAUUUAAGAUACAAAUAUUGAUUAGAGCAUAUACAUACAUAUAUGAAAUAUAUUGGUGAAGAAUCAACUUGUGUUUUGUAGAGAGAAGUCCUGCUCCCCAAUCUCUUGGAGGUCACUAACAAGCUAGCAAGGACAUGGGAAAGAUGAGCUGGCUUUCAGGAAAUCUUGCUUUCCAAAAGGAGGUUGAUAAGAUCCCUCAUCAAAGCUGUGGCAGAAGCUGAGACGGCAAGGAUUAAGAGCGAAAGUCCUAUAUGACUUCCCACAGCUGAUUAAAAGAGAUGAAACAAAGUGUAAACACACGGCCAUUUUUCACAAUGGAGGAAGGUUACCAGCAGGGUCCCACAAGGAUCUGUGCUGUGCUGUUUGUAAAAGUGAUCCAGAUAAGGGAGUGAAUGGUGCAGGGACAAAGUUUAUUGACAAAAAAUAAAAAUAAAAUAGUCAAAGUAAAACCAGCUGCAAAGAACUGCAGAAGGGUAUUACAAAUUCUGAGUGCACAAUAAAAGGGAAAGGAUAUUUAAUGUUGGUACAAUGUAAAGUGGUGCACACAGGGAUAAACAGCCCUAACUAUACAUACACAAUGGGCUCUACACUGGCUCUGGUCCACCCAGGACAGAGACCUUGGAGUCACUGCGGAUAAUUCUCUGCGGGCACUUGGCUUAUUGGCAGUCAGAAAGGUGAAGAGAAAGACAGGAAUAAUUGUGAAGGAACAGAGAAAACAGAAAACGUCAUUACACCACCAUAUAAAUGAUGCAACUUCAUUUUAAAUACAGCUACCACUUCUGGUCAGCCCACCACAAACAAAGACAGAAGAACUAGAAAAGAUACAAAGCAGGGGGACAAUCACUGACAUGGAAUGGUUUCUGUACAAUGAAGGACCAGACAAAUCACGAGUCCCCAGACUGGAAAAAGAUAAAUGAGGGGGAACAAUACAGAUAUCUAUGCAACUGUGAGCAACAUGGAGAAAAUAUAUAGGAAAUGACUAAUCAUUAUUUCUCCAACGAAAGUAAAGAACGCCGACAUGGUUAUGACACAGCAGAUUAAAAACUAACAAAAGAAAAGUAUGUAUAUAUAAUCUGGUGCAAUGCAAAAUUGGACUGUGGAACUCACUGGCACAAAUAAUAAGAACAUUCAAAAUACGAAUGAACAAAUGCAAAGAAGAAAGGUUCAUCUAGGGAUACUAAAUGCAAUGGUAAAAUACAAUUUCCAGUCCUGGAAGUCUAUCACAUGCUGGCUGCCAAAAGCUCAGUGGAUGUGCUAGGAGUAAUAUGGCAGAGGUGAAAUCUCUAAGCAUCCUGUAUGCACCACCGCCAGAGGGAGGAUGACAGGCUUGGGUACCUCUGCUCUUGGGCUCUAACCACUUUUAUUGGAAGUGAGCUAUGAUAGCUUAGACAGUAGGUUUUUGUUAGCUUCAGUUAAAUGGAGCCAAACACCACAGGCAGGAAUUAGAGCAGCAUUUGGUGGCAGAACAGGUCAAUAGCCUUCACAGCAAUAAGCUACAGCAUGACAGAGGAUAUUAAGUUCACCAGUAGGCUCAUCUGCUGCUAAAACAUGAGAUCAAACCCUCAGGCUUCCCUGAAGCCACAUUUCUUGGACGCUUCCCUUCCCUUCUUCCAUUCCCAAUAGAGAGGGAGCUGCACUUCCAGGCUACUACUGUGCUUCCAGGAUGCAGCAGGCUAAACAAUCUGUGGAGAUCAGGCAGAAAAUUUUUUGCUUUGGGCUAAUACGAUCAAGGUCUGGUGGUCUACUUGACCUUAUACACCAAACCAAAAAAAUGCCAUGGGAUCUGAACACAAAACAGGACUUCUUAUUACACAGUUAAAUAUUGUUUCACUUUCUAAAACUUGCCUUUGGCAGCUAGCACUUUUUUGGUCAGAAAGAGAAUAAACUUCUAUUGCACUAACAAACCUAAUAGAAAUUUUUUUCUUCCUCCUAUCUCCCUUAGAAGGGAAGAAAAAAGACUUUAAGAAGUGCAAUGAGGGUAAACUGGUGCUCUUCCGAAAGCAACUGAUUAUAUAGUAAGAAAACAAUGACUCUGCACUAGAAUCAAUUAAAUAUUUGGUACAAGACAAUUAAACAUGGAGUUAAAAACUGCCUUUCUACCAUGCUACAUUGCAGAAUUGAGACCUUCUACUGAACAAAACUUCUCUUUGUUUCCAGUUCAUACACUUUCCUGUCCUGGUAAAUACAUAUUUAGACACACAUGCUAAAGUCAAAGAUUUAGUUUUCAAAGGUAGUAACUGAAGAACGAAAAAACUUCUGGGUCUUUCUAAAAAUUUUAUCAAUAUGAAUCAGGUAGGAUGCAAGCAGCAAACAGCUAAGACUGCUAUACGCUUGCAAGGAAGACAAGAACACAAAUAGAAGUUAACUAUAAAACAAGAUCCUUAAUCCUUACUCAAAAUGAUGUGUUUUUUUUCCACUAUCAAGUCUAAAAUACACAAUUCGAACACAAAAGCCAAAAUAAAAGAAGAAAAAUGAGAGUAACAGCCUCACUGCAAACUCACAAAUAAUGAUAAUUAUUAGUGCUUUUUCUUCUAAAUUACAUACUAUCUUUAGGGAGUUGCACUCCUAAUUACUUUAAUUUUAAAAUGCUACAAUUCACCUGGUAAAUAUUUUAACUUGCAUCUUUGUAGCAAAACUGACAAAACUAUUUAGCCAUCAAAACCACAGUAUUAAAAACAUCCCGAAAAAUCCAACAUAAUGAGCUAGUUAAGAUUAUACUUUCAUAAAAUAAAACAAUUUUCUAACAAUAAAUGUGUGCUGACUUACUGUAUAUGUAACAGAAAAUAAGAUUCUAUGUUUUUUCUUGCUUUGCUCUUGAAUAAUUAGGUUUCUCGAAUGAUGGCCUUUUAAUGGUAUUUUUGUUAAUUAGCAAUGUUAACUGUUUUUAUAUAUACACACGUUUAUACAUAUGCAUACAUACACACACACACCCCUAUAUUCCAAACAUCACAGAGCAGCGUUUACAACCUUAAUUGCUCCUUGCACUUAAAGGGAAAAAAAAGCAAACAAAAAAACCCAACUCCAAACACGGAGUUUAUAACUACUCAGAUGAAAUACAAACAAAGCAGCUGCUUUGAGGAACAUUUUACUCUCACACAGAUAAGGUCUUGUGUUUCUUUAAAUAUAUAUUUAGGCUUUACAAAGGAAAAAUAAACAUGAUACAAUGAAUUCUACCAAGGAAGUACUUAGGUGUAUAUUAUCUACUACGCUGUCUGUGACUGGUUGACCUACUGGUUAAAUAACAGCCUAGCAAGACGUUGUGACUUUGUUUUGCAAGGAUGUGAAACAAUCUUAGUUUUGUGUGUGGUCUUCCAAGUACUUUUAGAGCUAAAAAUCAAACUUCCAAGUGAAGCAUAGCUGAAAUUGCCAGAAUUUGAUGGUCUCUACAUAGAGGGGAAAAAAAAGUAGCACAUUUGAAAAUGGUUUGAGCAAUAGAAAGGAGGACAGAAUUCAGGAAAAUUUAACUCUGUGUCAAUGAACUGUAUUUUGAGUGGUGUUAAGAAAAAGAGAAGAUUUGUGGAACGAGGGUCUGCUAUAAAUGUAGUAAACAGCUUUCCCUGGGUAAAACUGCAUUAAAAAAAAAAAAAAGGCUGGAUGGAAAAGAAUGAAGUGUUUGAACAACUAUCUGGGAAGACGACUUCAAGUUCUUUCUAGAAGUACAACUAUUACUUCCGUAAGACUCUAUCACUCUGUGAAGGUCAUUUCAGCUGUUUCAUGCAUAAAAUGAAGAUUAUAUACUCACUUUUGUAAAGAUAACUGAAAUAUCAGUGAGGAGAAGUAAUUUUAAGAUACAAAACUUUCUUGUCUCUUCAUGGAAGUUAGUAAAAUGGUGGUUUGUUUUUACUUCAUGGAUGACUACGGGACUCUCAAACUGGAGAAAGCAGUAAAGAAGUGCAAACUUUUUUUGUUGUUGUUGUUUGUUUGUUUAGAAGCUUUUCAAUCUUAUUUUAAAGAGAAUACUUUAAAUUCUUAAAUUCCUUUGAAUUUUUAAGAUAUAUAUUUUUAAAGAAAAAAAUCUUGCUAGAACUUACUUUGAAAAAAAUAUUUUCUAGAAGACCAGAGAUAAUUUACAGGUGUGUAAAAAUCAAUAAUCAAAACAAGUAAAAUUUGGUGAUCUUUUUCUGGCAUAUCAAUACAUAUGCUGAGCAGAUGCAUAUAGAACUGCAUUCACAGUUAACUAUAUAAUUAAAAAAAUCUACUACGGAUUUUUAGUUGGUAGCUGCAGACAGUUAGUUUAAGACAACAGUAUUGAACUAACAUCACCAAGACCAGAAAAAGACCUGGCAAUUUCUGUCAGGAAAAUCAUAAAUAAUUCCCUAAGCCGCUCUAUGCCCUGACAUUGUACAGAGUGCAGCAUAUGUGCUAAUGAUUCUGCAGAACAGUCAUUAGGCUUCAGAGCCUCUGCAACCAUAUAUAAAAAAAUCUCUCAGCCUCCUACAAUAUGUAAUAGAACUAAGAGAUAUCAUGAUUUACUGGCAGAAGGGCCAGAGACACAGAAGCAGCUUUAUGUCCAAGCUCUCCUCAGAAUUACUGAAUGUUUACAAAACAAUCUACUGACAAAGGGUUGGGAGAACAUAGAAAAAAACAAACCACCAAACCACACUAUGUGGAAGAAAAUAACACAAUUAACUUCAUAAUCUCCUUGCAAUGUGAACUGUGGGCAUCCUGUUAGUGAUAUAAUUUUAGCUGUUAGCAGUGUAAUUACAGCUGCAACUGUGCAACAGAUGUGAAUACGAUUUACCCUGUACAGAGCACCGUUUUUUCUUCUCUAUCCUCGAACUUCAGAAAAUCUGCUGAUAUUAGGCAACAUCCAUUCUGAUGGCAAAUUUUCUAAUCUUUACUCAAUUUCCAUAAAUCAGACUGCUGGGUUAACACGAGUAAUAGGGAACUUUUUUAUGAGUAUCUGGACUGUUUUAUAUAUACCUUUAUGUCUCUUUCUACAAAUAAACAGAACAAAGUUACUAAUAAUUACCCAAUAUUCAGCUGCAAGAUAUUAAAUAUUUAUCAUGAAAAAGUGACCUCUGAGGAAUGGGCAAGGAGACACUAUUGAAAAAGUUCUUACAGCUAGGCUAUCAACUAAAGCGGUAUCCCUCAUAUUUGCAGCUCUUCCUAUGGAAGUUUUCAGGCUGGACUGAAUCCUUUUAGUUGUCUCCCCGUAUGGAGCAAUUCAGAAAUGGCAGGAACAUGCCAAAAAUGCCUUAACAUCUCAGGCUGUAUGAAAAAAUACAGCUCACUGAUGACUGCUCUCUAGAUAUUUUCCUUCCCUUUUACCUUUUUAUUACCUCUGUUUACUUCCUUUUGAGGAAGGAGAUGAGAGGAGAGAGAUUUAGGCAUAAUUCUUAUUUUUGUUCCCCCAUUUGUGGAUUAAAAAGGGAAGCAAAAUGUGGAGCAUUGGACUCCUUUUCAUAUACCAGUGUGAAUCAUGCAGAUGUUAUAUUUAUACUAGGAAAUAAGGAUUCCCCACAAAUUAUUCUCCCCUUGGGACUGAUAUAAGUCAGACUCAAAUUCAAGCUUCAGCUGCUGCUAGUCAAGGUGGAGUGCAGCAGAGCUACAGAUUUGAACAACUCUGGCCUUGAAUUUUAGUAAACACUUUAAACUUGGUCCUACUCAUAAGCUUUACUGCUUUAUAGAUUGGCCAACUCUUCACAUUUCCUGCCUCUUUUCAAAGUUUUUGUUUGUUUCUUUUGAAAGAGGGAGAAUGAUGUGCUGAAGUACCAAAACUGUAGUUAUCCCAGAUAUCACAAACUAAGUACCUACUUUUCCCUUCUGUACCGUGACCAAAUGACCUCUCUUUCAGGAAGGAGACAAGUAUCAUCCACAUGAUCUAGAUUUGUUGUUAAGAAAAAUGUAGUGAUCGUUGUAAGAACGUCAUGUGGAUGAAAACCAGUAACAAGAUAAUGGAAAAAGGAAAAAAGGACAUGUGCCUGUGUACUUGUGUUGGUCCUUCAAGAGACAAUUUUCUUCAGUGACUUUGAACACCUAAAAACAUUCAAUUGAUCAUAAGCCCAGGCUUGGACUAUUGCAGGUUGACAUGACAAGGUAUUUUAACCUUGAAGAAGCUGGUAACCACCCAGUUCACUUCAGCAAGACAAGCAGAAGCACAAACUGAAAAGUCAAGACUGUGACAGUGGCAAAGCUUUCGGGAAAUCAACAGGAAUGCAGGCAAUUAAAACAAAACAAAAAGUUACAAGCAGCUGUGUGUGUUAAUCUGCCUCCAGCUCCCCUGCUAAUACUUUCCAUUCUGUAAUAAUAUCCUCAUUGUCCAGAUUAUUUUUUCCUAAAGAAUACCAACUGACUACUCUAAAAGGACAGUGACUGCAGAAAAAAAGUAUCACUUUUCUUCUUUGAAACUCUAACAUAGAUGUUUUAUUUAUAAUUAGCAAGUAAAACAAUUUUAAAGUACAGUAAUUUUAAAACUGUCAGAACUCCUUAGUAUUUCACACUGUUUAAUUAACCGUCCGUGUGCUUUCCACAAUUCCUAGUUUGUGACAGCUACUCAGACCGGUACCAGCUUUUUGUUAAAUUGAAAUACUUGGGCAGAUAAAUUACUUUCAAAAGAUGAUGGAAAAUCAGGUGGGCAUGUACUGACAGAAUUUCUCUCACUAAGAACUAAUUUGCAGAAAUCUGGGCACGGUGAUUAAAGAUGUAAGGAUGAAGGUCUACCAGAAAUGGUGAAGGAAAUAUGUUUUGUUUCCUGUUACAAUAUAUUUACCAGUACUGUAAUGGGGUAAAAUCUUUAUUUUAUAUACAAAUCUAAGAAAUUUGAUGCUGUGAAGUUUGGAAGGCAGGCACAACAGCGAGAUUUCAGCCUCUCUAGUGAAGUGACUGUCUUCACGCAGGAAUGCAGCGUGCAUCCCUGCCUGUCCCGAGGGAUUCAGUCUCUACACCAAAAGCAGAACACGAGAGCCCUGGCACCACUUAAACUGUGCUAAAACGCAGUGAGUGGCACAAAGGCCCCUUGGUGGCAUUACUUUUAUUCCAUGUGCUCUUCAUAGUGUAAUAUUUCCUGUAUCUGCUGGGAGUUUCAAGUUGUAACGAUCAUGUUGAAAUAUUUCUACCUCUCCUUAACAGUCUAUCACACACAUUAACAAAGACCACUCAUGACCUAUGUCGGGCAUGCUUCUUGCACUAUUUGUAUCACCCCAACCAACAAAGUGCUCUGACACAAUGGCCUUAAAAACACAUUUCCUUCUGAAACUAGGGUGCUGCAGUAUGAGAAAAUCCUUUCCCUAGAAAGUGACACCAGUGAUUUCUGUCACUUGUGUGUGUGUGUGUGUAUGGCAACAGAAGGGAGGAAAGAAUAACCUUUAGUAAUAAAUAUGGGCCUCCUACCAGGAGAUUUUUCACAAAGACUGAAAGUAAAAAGGUUAGCAAUUACAAACUUUAAUACUACAGGAACUCUACCAGCUUCCAGGCUCUCUUUGUGGAAUGAAGUAAGGCUCUAAACACCAGUAUCAGACUCCUAAAACAAUGCUAGGAACACACCACCUGGCCAGCCUUGACGUACCUCCCAACUGCUGUAAGAUAUGGUCUUAAUUCACUCCACACUGUAGCGUUUGCCGGAGUCAGUAAAUACCAGUGGUAUGGGGAGAGAUUUAAACAUGCUAAGGUGUUGCCCGUAAUGCUUUCCAAUAGAAGUUUAGAGGAAAAGAUGAAGGGAGAAAUAAGAUAGAUUGAUCAGCUUGAUCUGAAGAAAAAAAAAAUAAAAAAGAGAUGUGACAAUGAAAUAACUCUGACCCUAAAAUAAACUCAUCUAAUCUCACUGUUUGUUGAAAAGUAAUCUGAAAUCAAAGUUUGUUUGCAAUCACUGGAAUCAUCCAUUUCUAGAUAUUCCUAAACAGAGAUGAGGGAAAAACAACCUAGGAAGCAAAAAAAAAAUAGUAUGAAAAGCAAUCUUUUCCUUUUGAAAUCUGAAUUAUCUCACAACUCUAAGCAUUUGCAACCUGAGUUGAGUUAGCCACAUCUGAAUUCAACAGGAAGACAAAUACUCACCUCUUUCUACCCUACUAUGGCAUGGAUAACUGUCUAGAGGUGUCUUCACUGAAUCCAGGGUGAGAAUAUACGUGUCAAUUUUUAGAUGUUUGGAAUUAGCUAAGAUAAGUAUCACUG
This is a long non-coding RNA of Cygnus olor (mute swan), 9866 nucleotides long. RefSeq lists it as uncharacterized. The record is from RefSeq and is a predicted model, not a curated record. NCBI's taxonomy places the organism in Eukaryota, Metazoa, Chordata, Aves, Anseriformes, Anatidae. The transcript has 2 exons.